This 251-nucleotide ribosomal RNA is filed under the name uncultured prokaryote. RNAcentral describes it as "partial 16S rRNA". It matches the Rfam family "Bacterial small subunit ribosomal RNA", at positions 525 to 775 of the family's 1533-position model. The record is from RNAcentral.
ACGAACUGUGCAAACGUUAUUCGGAUUUACUGGGCUUAAAGAGUUCGUAGGCGGCCUGAUAAGUCGGGUGUGAAAUCCCCCAGCCCAACUGGGGAACUGCGCUCGAUACUGUCGGGCUUGAGGGAGAUAGAGGUGAGCGGAACUGAUGGUGGAGCGGUGAAAUGCGUUGAUAUCAUCAGGAACACCGGUUGCGAAAGCGGCUCACUGGGUCUCUUCUGACGCUGAGGAACGAAAGCUAGGGGAGCAAACGG